UAACCUCUCGCCACGAGUAAUUUCAUUACGACUGGCUAGGACUUGGGUGCUGCCGGCCCUGCGUCGGCUCGCCUCGAAAUGCAUUAGUGGGGACCUGCCCUGCGCGGUGUUGAUAAUUGUCUACGUCGUGCCAGGUGUUUGGCUCUUUGCUUCGAACUUCCCUAGGGAAACUUUUCAAA
This 179-nucleotide unclassified non-coding RNA is filed under the name uncultured Auriculariales. RNAcentral describes it as "sequence contains ITS2". Lineage: Eukaryota; Fungi; Basidiomycota; Agaricomycetes; Auriculariales. The record is from RNAcentral.